AGUUUUUCAGUUGCUUUUUUAAAGAAGGAAGGCUCAUGGUGCAAAUUGUUAUUUCCAGUACGGGGGCUGAAGGCCUGGCAGAAUGGGUGCUGAUGGAGCUACAGGGGGAGAUCGAGGCUCGCUACAGCACCGGAUUAGCUGGAAACCUCCUGGGAGACCUACAUUACACCACUGAGAUUGACACUGCAGAGUAAGAUGAGCUGUAAAGAGCCCGCAAUUACACACGUCAGUUUCUCCUUAGAGCAAAGCAACUCAGUGCAAUCAAGUGAAAAUGAGGUGAUUCCAGAAAGAGGACAACUGCACAGCUCCUGCUCAUGGUUACCACUCACUCUGCAAUCAUUAUGAAGGGCCUCCGUGGUACCCAGGCCGGGUACUAAAGAGAUGGACGGUCCAUGA
This 396-nucleotide long non-coding RNA is filed under the name Rattus norvegicus (Norway rat). RNAcentral describes it as "long non-coding RNA NONRATT014654". Lineage: Eukaryota; Metazoa; Chordata; Mammalia; Rodentia; Muridae. The record is from RNAcentral.